CUCAAUUGCUCUUGUCUUGUGAAAAUUAAGCAAGGUUAGACCUGGUUAAUACUUUGAUGGGACACCACCUGGCAACGCUAGGUGCUCUAGAGU
Molecule: ribosomal RNA, 93 nt
Filed under: Salvator merianae (Argentine black and white tegu)
Lineage: Eukaryota; Metazoa; Chordata; Lepidosauria; Squamata; Teiidae
Source: RNAcentral